This 251-nucleotide ribosomal RNA is filed under the name uncultured bacterium. Its description in RNAcentral is "partial 16S ribosomal RNA". It matches the Rfam family "Bacterial small subunit ribosomal RNA", at positions 525 to 775 of the family's 1533-position model. The record is from RNAcentral.
ACGGAGGAUGCGAGCGUUAUCCGGAUUUAUUGGGUUUAAAGGGAGCGCAGACGGGAGAUUAAGUCAGUUGUGAAAGUUUGCGGCUCAACCGUAAAAUUGCAGUUGAUACUGGUUUCCUUGAGUGCAGUUGAGGCAGGCGGAAUUCGUGGUGUAGCGGUGAAAUGCUUAGAUAUCACGAAGAACCCCGAUUGCGAAGGCAGCUUGCUAAACUGUAGCUGACGUUCAUGCUCGAAAGUGUGGGUAUCAAACAG